This is a non-coding RNA of Actinobacteria bacterium 13_1_20CM_3_68_10, 372 nucleotides long. Lineage: Bacteria; Bacillati; Actinomycetota. The record is from Rfam.
GCGGUAGGGCGUGAUGGUCGCGGUGCGCCGGUCGGAGUGGCGUGCUGAGGAAAGUCCGAGCUCCACAGGGCAGACUGCCAGGUAACGCCUGGGCGCCGCAAGGCGACGGAACGGGCCACAGAAAACAGACCGCCCUUUUAUCCAAAGGGUAAGGGUGAAAAGGUGGGGUAAGAGCCCACCGCGCGCCUGGCAACAGGCGCGGCACGGUAACCCCCAGUCGGAGCAAGGCCAAGUAAGCAGCGAGACCCGGCCCGGGUCGUCCGAGCUGCGGGUAGGCCGCGCGAGGUGGCUGGCGACAGCCAUCCCAGAGAGAUGACCAUCUGUCCGCCAACAGCGGAUAAACAGAACUCGGCUUAUGGCCCUACCGCCCGC